RNAcentral lists this ribosomal RNA (379 nucleotides) under uncultured eukaryote. RNAcentral's name for it is "partial 18S ribosomal RNA". It matches the Rfam family "Eukaryotic small subunit ribosomal RNA", at positions 592 to 975 of the family's 1831-position model. The record is from RNAcentral.
CAAUAGCGUAUAUUAAAGUUGUUGCGGUUAAAAAGCUCGUAGUUGGAUUUCUGCUGAGAACGACCGGUCCGCCCUUUGGGUGUGUAUCUGGCUCUUUCUUGGCAUCUUCUUGGUGAACGUUGCUGCACUUGACUGUGUGGAGCGCUACCCAGGACUUUUACUUUGAGGAAAUUAGAGUGUUCACGGCAGGCAGUCGCCUUGAAUAUAUUAGCAUGGAAUAAUAAUAUAGGACCUUGGUUCUAUUUUGUUGGUUUCUAGAACUUAGGUAAUGAUUAAUAGGGACAAUUGGGGGCAUUUGUAUUAACACGUCAGAGGUGGAAUUCUUGGAUUGUGUUACGACAAACUACUGCGAAAGCAUUUGCCAAGGAUGUUUNCAUUG